UUGCUAGCUUAUCUUCUCCAUUACACCACUGACCACACCUUCCCUGUUAACUAAACACAAAAACAAUCCUAUCUAUGAUAACCCUGACCUCUCUAUCCCUAUUUCACUAGCCACUUUAUGUCUCUUUGUCUCUCUGCCCAUUACCAUUUCAAAUCAAGACCAUCUCUCUAUCACUCUCACAACUUCUCUUCUCUCUAAUAAUUAGAAGUACGACUAUGAAGUCAAAAUCAAGGUUUAGAGACAUGGGAGACAAAUUCAGGCGACGUUGUAAGUGACUGUUCAUAUUGAAGACUUUGUAUCAUUGUUUGUCUACACCUGCAUCAGUCUGUCCUUCUCAGAUCAUUCGAUUAGUGAUCAGGUGAACAAAUAAUUUAUGUGUUUCUUUGCUUUACCUGCACACAUUUCUGAGAAUUGAACUUCUCCUCUGAGCAACCAGGUACUUGUGAAGCUGAAAUACACACCAAGGAAAGAGAGAAAAACGAGAAACACAAUCUGUGGUAGUGCCUAAACCCAGUUUUAUACUGGCGGUAUUGUUCUCUUAACUUUUUUUUUAUCUCAAAGGCUAUACCUAAUUUGUGCGCCGAACUAGUUGCUACUGACCAUUUUCAAACCCCUUCCAAGUAUGAUAUGUUUAUGCAUGAUUCCAUGACACUUGAGUAAAAUCUUCGAUAGCUGAAAUUCUUGUUUCACUGCACUGAGUUCGUGUCUGUAUGCAUCUCUGAAUCUGUUUUACUAGGUACUCUCUAGUUCUGCUGCAUAGUGUGUUUAUAAUUUAAAAAACUAGCUCUUGGUAUCCAUGAACACGACCCUGUGAUAGUUCGAGUAACACCUACGCUAACUGGAAUUGCCGUUUCACUGUGCUGAAUUGAUUCUGUGUGCGUAAUCUCUAUCUUUGGAAUCUCACAUGCAUUAUUUCCCUGUAGUGUGACUUGCUUGGUUGUUUGAUAGCCAUAACAUGUCAGGAUUUUGGACGGGCAUUAGGGAUAAAAAAUCAUCGCACAAACACAUUAGAGAACUCGAACAUGAGCAUGCUUCGCAUUUUGAGUUUCCAUUACACUAUGGUGUUGAUAAUUAUAGGGAUUAUUAUGGACCUUUUCUAGGUCUUGAGCCUCAAUAUGCAAACCCUAAUGAUUAUUCACAUAUGUAUCAGCCACCACCAGGGGAUGUGGAGCAAGUCUGUACUCCCCUGAUCCCUUUUAUGCAUUCUGUGAUGGAAAAUCUCAAACUCAUUGAAUAAAAUAAUGCUAGAUUUUAAUUGCAAGCAUUGCAUGAUCAUCCAUACAGCAACACAUCUGAAUCUCCGUUCGGUAGUGAACCUCAUGUACAACCAUAUACUGAAUAUCCAUAUGAAACGAGGAUACCCACUAUUGAAGACUCUCCUUCCAUUGGACAAAUUAAUAUGAUUCUUAAAAUGAACCUGAUUCAUUUACAAAGUGAAGAAAGGAAUAAAUUUCAUGAUGAGAUGUUUGUUAUUCCUAAUGAGGUAAAUUUUGAAAAUAGUGUUUAUGUUUCUACUCAAGAAACCAAUAUUGAAUAUGAACCUAAUCUAAAGGUAAAUGAGUGGACUAGGGACACUAUGGUUUUAAAAAGGACAUUGCAUCCUUGUUACGAUGAUGAUGAUAAUGAUUUAAUUUUAGAAGAGCAUGUUUACUCUGAAAAUGUUGUUGUGUAAUCUUAUGUUCCUAUAACCUUAGACUCCGUUGUUGCGACUUUGAAAAAUGAUGUUUCUUCUGAUUUUCUUAUCCGUAACUCUGAAAUUUUGGAUGAUAUUGAUAUGGAUUUGGGGAUUGAACAAUUGUUUUGUGGAAGUGUGCAUGAUACACAACUUGCAUCUGACCUAGGGAUGGCUGAAUUUUCUAUUGACACUGAUGAUCUUAUGCACAUAAAUUUUAUGUGUCUAAAUCCCUGCCUAGGUCAAAAUGUGUUGUGUCUUCUGAUUUUCUUAUGCAUGAGAUGGAGACUUUGGAUGAUCAUGAUACUGAUUUGGGUCUUGUUGAUUUGUUCUAUGAAUGUGAGAAUGUUGCGACACUUGCAGAUGAUUUAGGAGAUAUUGGUGUGACUAAUAAUGAUGUGCCUAAUAAUGAUGCUUAAGUCGCAAACUGAGACUCUUCCACCCAACCUAGAUUUGGUUUGUAACAAAAUUGUAAAACCAUCUUUUCUAAGAAUACCUGAUCUAGGAUUAGAACUGUGUGCUUCUCAAGUUCUUUUGGACCAUUUUGCAUCUAAAUAUAACAUCUCUAAGGAUCCACAGUUGGAAUGUGUGUCACUGCCCGUUCCUAACAUAGUUCAUUUUGAACUAGAUCUUCUGCACGAUGCACCCCUUAAAUUGUUAGAUUUUGUGCCCAAAAGUAUAUUUGCUGAAAAAUCUAGGUUUGGGGGUAGCUCAUCUUUUCUGGCAGCCUCACUUAAAUUUCUGUCAUGUUAUAAAUGUGUGAGGUUAUAAAAAUUUCUACAUACUGUCUUUUGGGUUGAUCCUCAACUCUUUAGGUUGUAUGUGUAUGGUGAAGUUUUCUUGUAUAUAAUCCAGUAGGUGAUGUUUCAGUUGAGUCUUAUGUUUUCUUUGUAUAUAUUGUGCUAAUCCAAUGUGAUCUCAGCUGGAAAAUGUUGGAUUCUAGCCGCGAAUAAUGGAGUUCGGUUCUUUCUUUCGUCAAAUCUGGUAAUCUCUUUCCUUUUUCUCAAACUCAGCAUGUUUCUCCUGGUAUGUUACAGUUAUAAUUCUGUUGAUCAUUAGAAACAUUGAGGACAAUGUUUAGUUUAGGUUAUGGGGUGAAAAGUAGAUACCAUAUGACUGAUCGCAUGCUAUAAUUGAAAACAGAAAUCUUUCUUUUUGCUAUAAAAAAAUAAAAAAAAUGAAAAAUGGAGCUCAUUUACCUUGAAUUGUGAUACCUGGGCAUGUAUGAUAUCUUAGGAUUCUUAGUCUAGAUGAUGAGGCACCCAUGAUUCUAGCACAAUUCACAUGUGAUAUAGAAAAUUUGCACAUGCACAAUCAACCAAGCGUGUAUAGCGUCGGUGUUUCAUAGGUUAAGUAGGUUGCCAAUCAUCUAGAAUACUGAAUGAGACUUGACUAGCUUGUUCUUUGGUUGGAUGGGAUAGAAGUUGGAGGAUACAUUAAGAAAAACAACUAUUGAAUUUGACCGGGUGCAUCGAAAAGGGAUGCCUCUUGCUAAAAGUGUCAUGUAAUGUAUUUUUCUGUUUUUGUGUAAAGUUAUCGUGUCAUCGUGUGUAUCUCUUGUUAUUCCAAAAUCAAUUCAAAUGAAAAGGAAAAAAAAUCAUAAAAAGAAAAAGAAAAGAAAAUUUCAAAGCCAAAAAAAAAAAAAAAAAAAAAAAAAAAAAAAAAAAAAAAAAAAAAAAAAGAAGUAUCCAUUGUCUGUUAUUAUAUUUUGUUUCAAUAAAAAUGUUAAAGUGUCUCUCCUGCCUCAAAAUGAGAGUAGUCAAUGUAAAUAUUGCACUCAAUGUUCUUUGUUGUUAUGUGUUGUAAAUAGUCUUGUAAUAUGCAAGGAGGGUAUAGCCAUCGAUGUACAACGCGGGUAAACUGAAAUAUCACCAACUCUUAGGUGAACAUUCACAAUUCUCGUAAAGACGGACAUCUAGCUUGUAUUUGAAUUCAGUUCUUAGCCUAAAAACUAUCUCUUAGUAAUUGGCAGUCAUAACUUCCUACAGUAAACCAUUCUCUAUGCAUGUCUAAGGUGAUACACUUUACACUCUUAUCACAUGUCUUCAGUUGUUCCAGUGCUAGAAUUGUGCCUUUUGAAAGCUAGAUUGACAUAUCCAUUUGCUGCGAGCUAAAACUGAAUGCAGGUAUCACUUUCAUGGAAUCUGAGCUUAUAUUUUAUCCUAGAACUUUUUGGGUAUUUUUUGUCGAGCGAUAGUGGUAUAGGUAGGACUUUUCUUUUAGUUUUGUGUUUUACUCGCGGACGAGCAAAAUUCAGGUUUGGGGGUGUGAUCAGUGCCUAAUAAUGCAUAUUUCAGAUCAUUUUGUUGUCUUUUGUCACAUCUCAAAUGCUUUAAUAUCCUAUUUUUGUGUCAAAUUAUGCAUUUUGCGUCUCGAGGUAUCAAUAAUCUUUAUUUUGUUGUAAAUAUUGAUAUUUGUGUAUGUUUUGUUUUUGUAGGAUUCAUAAAUAUAAGGAGGAUCAUAAAGUGAGCAGUUGAUUGGAGGUCAGAGUGGUAACAGUAAAGAGAGUGGAGCUAAUACGUGGACUACAGAAGGAUCAACUCAUAGCAGAAAUAAGAUGGACCAAAUGUGGGCUUAAUCCUUGUUUUGAAAAUGAGGAAACAAGUUUGAACUUCAUCUAUCCACAUAAACCAUGCCCUAGGAAAUUUUACCAUCGACAUUUCCAAGGGUAAAGAAACGAAUUUGCUAGCUUCUCUUUCUCCCUUACACCACCGACCACACCUUCCCUGUCAACUAAACACAAAAACAAUCCUAUCUAUGAUAACCCUGACCUCUAUAUCCCUAUUUCACCAGCCACUUUCUGUCUCUUUGUCUCUCUGCCCAUUACCAUUUCAAAUCAAGACCAUCUCUAUCACUCUCGCAACUUCUCUUAUCUCUACUGAUUAGAAGUACGGCCAUGAAGUCAAAAUCAAGGUUUAGAGACAUGGGAGACAAAUUCAGGCGGCGUUGUAAGUGACUGUUCAGAUUGACGACUUUAUAUCAUUGGUCAGUUCCAAAAAAUCAAAUCCCUAAUUUUUUGAUUGUAUUUGUUGACUAGAGGGAUUGUUAGACUUGAAUAUUUUGUAUAAAUAGGGGAGGCACUGAUAUUUUGAAGAUAAGCUCGGAGUAGCCGGUGCAACUUGCAGUAGUAAAUUAGGUUUAAUUUCAUCUUGUAUCAUGUUCUAAACAACUUUGUUAUGGCAUAGAUGAAGCCCUUAAUUUACUGCUAGCUUAUUCAUGUUUUCAA
Papaver somniferum (opium poppy) is the source of this 4898-nucleotide long non-coding RNA. RefSeq lists it as uncharacterized. The record is from RefSeq and is a predicted model, not a curated record. Lineage: Eukaryota; Viridiplantae; Streptophyta; Magnoliopsida; Ranunculales; Papaveraceae. The transcript has 2 exons.